Sebastes umbrosus (honeycomb rockfish) is the source of this 1260-nucleotide long non-coding RNA. RefSeq lists it as uncharacterized. The record is from RefSeq and is a predicted model, not a curated record. NCBI's taxonomy places the organism in Eukaryota, Metazoa, Chordata, Actinopteri, Perciformes, Sebastidae. The transcript has 7 exons.
CUCACCUCACCUCUUGCUCACCUGUCUCACUUCCCCCGUUAGUCAGUCACUUUUAUACCACCUCAGUUCCUUUGUUCUUUGCAGGUUCGUCUUUCAUCAUUGGAGUUUGUUUUGCCCGUUACCCGCCUGGUGUUACCUGCCUGCUUUUUGGACUCUGAUUGAGCGAACGCAGCAUCAAAGGUGAACAUCUUUGGAGGGACCUGAUUGGCUCCCGCCUUUUUCUGGGAGGCAGCGCUUGGCGACUGAUUGACUGAGGGGUCCAUGAUGGUGAUUUGUUUCUUCCUGGGGUCCACUUUGAGGAAGGAACUGGACUCUGGAGCUGCGUCCGACUGAGACACUGGGCAGACACGCACCAUCACUUUCACCUGAUGUGAAUACUGAUGAAAGGUGGUGAGCUGCAGAAACGAAGGCUAGGAAAAAAACACGAGGAAGAGAUGCUAGAGAAAUCCAUUUGUUGCAGUUGAUUGAGGACGGGCAGGCUGCCAGCAGGGCAACAGGAAGACAAAGUUGAUUUGAUUACACGGCUCAUCGACGACUGCUGACUGGAUAGGUGAUUUAUAAAUAAACACACCAGAAGAUUAAAUGACUUGAGAGGCAUCAGCAUGAGCAGUCAGACUGUGAAGAUGACCAGGAUGAACCAAACCCAAGGAUUACUCUGACACAAAUGAGCCGGGGAACUUCCACUGCCUGAGGCCGGCGACCCCGUCCCAAAACCCGGGGAGCCACCCAGAGAGCCAGGUGAUUCUGUCCCAAUCCCCGGAGAGAUGGUCCCUGGUGAUCCAGAGAAGGACCCUGGUGAGGAAAUUCCUGAGCCUGGGGACGGGGUGCCCGUGGAGCUAGGCAUGGAGCCGGCACCCUCUGGGGUGGGGCGUGUGCCAGAGCGGGCGUUUUCCUCGUAAGGCUUUCGGUACCAUGUGUCCGGGAAAAAGGAGGCAGAUUUGGUCGGGGAAGUGUCGGGCAUCUACGAAAAAAAAAAAAAAUGUAUUAAAAAAGAUUUUCAUGGCAGACAUUUUGACCUGUCAUAGCAGGAAAAGCACAGGUGUAAAUAAUAAUAUCAAUUAAUAUUAAUAAAUGGAUGAAUUCCACAAAGGUUUUGCAAUUCAAUUAAAAAAAGUCUAUAUUGUGUGAAUAUGUGCAACAUCCCACUCAUCCCAUUUCACACAACAGGUUAGAUGAGAAUAAAAUAAUGAGGAAGGGGUGAGGGCAUGUGUCUUUUAUCAUGCAAAUUAAAGUCAAACCAUUUGCAUUUUGCCUGUAAAG